AUUGAACGCUGCGGCAGGCUUAACACAUGCAAGUCGAGCGGAGUGGUGGUGCUUGCACUAUCACUUAGCGGCGGACGGGUGAGUAAUGCUUAGGAAUCUGCCUAUUAGUGGGGGACAACAUUUCGAAAGGAAUGCUAAUACCGCAUACGUCCUACGGGAGAAAGCAGGGGAUCUUCGGACCUUGCGCUAAUAGAUGAGCCUAAGUCGGAUUAGCUAGUUGGUGGGGUAAAGGCCUACCAAGGCGACGAUCUGUAGCGGGUCUGAGAGGAUGAUCCGCCACACUGGGACUGAGACACGGCCCAGACUCCUACGGGAGGCAGCAGUGGGGAAUAUUGGACAAUGGGCGGAAGCCUGAUCCAGCCAUGCCGCGUGUGUGAAGAAGGCCUUAUGGUUGUAAAGCACUUUAAGCGAGGAGGAGGCUACUUUAGUUAAUACCUAGAGAUAGUGGACGUUACUCGCAGAAUAAGCACCGGCUAACUCUGUGCCAGCCGCCGCAGUAA
This 500-nucleotide ribosomal RNA is filed under the name uncultured bacterium. RNAcentral's name for it is "partial 16S ribosomal RNA". It matches the Rfam family "Bacterial small subunit ribosomal RNA", at positions 30 to 523 of the family's 1533-position model. The record is from RNAcentral.